This 260-nucleotide ribosomal RNA is filed under the name uncultured bacterium. RNAcentral's name for it is "partial 16S ribosomal RNA". It matches the Rfam family "Bacterial small subunit ribosomal RNA", at positions 524 to 776 of the family's 1533-position model. The record is from RNAcentral.
UACGAAGGGGGGCUAGCGUUGCUCGGAAUCACUGGGGCGUAAAGCGCACGUAGGCGGCGCAGCAAGUCAGGGGGUGAAAUCCCCGGAGCUCAACUCCGGAACUGCCCCUUGAAACUGCAGUGCUAGAAUUCUGGAGAGGCGAGUGGAAUUCCGAGUGUAGAGGUGAAAUUGUAGAUAUUCGGAAGAACACCAGUGGCGGAAGCGGACUCGCUGGGACAGACAUUGACGCUGAGACGCGAAAGCCAGGGGGAGCGAACGGG